Molecule: ribosomal RNA, 444 nt
Filed under: uncultured bacterium
Lineage: Bacteria
Description: bacterial SSU rRNA
Rfam family: Bacterial small subunit ribosomal RNA
Source: RNAcentral
UGCCUACGGGAGGCAGCAGUAGGGGAUAUUGCACAAUGGGCGGAAGCCUGAUGCAGCAACGCCGCGUGAGUGAUGAAGGCCCUCGGGUCGUAAAACUCUUUUCAAGAGGAAGAGGAAGGACGGUACUCUUGGAAUAAGCCUCGGCUAACUACGUGCCAGCAGCCGCGGUAACACGUAGGAGGCGAGCGUUAUUCGGAUUUACUGGGCGUAAAGCGCGUGUAGGCGGCUGAUCAAGUUGGAUGUGAAAGCUCCCGGCUUAACUGGGAGAGGACGUUCAAAACUGAACAGCUUGAGUAUGAGAGAGGAAAAUGGAAUUCCGGGUGUAGUGGUGAAAUGCGUAGAUAUCCGGAGGAACACCAGUGGCGAAGGCGAUUUUCUGGCUCAAGACUGACGCUCAGACGCGAAAGCUAGGGUAGCAAACGGGAUUAGAUACCCGAGUAGUCG